GUGUUUGCUUCAGCAGCACAUACACUAAAAUUGGAACGAUACAGAGAAGAUUAGCAUGACCCCUGCUCAAAGAUCACAUGCAAAUUCAUGAAGCAUCCUAUAUUUUU
RNAcentral lists this small nuclear RNA (107 nucleotides) under Spermophilus dauricus (Daurian ground squirrel). Lineage: Eukaryota; Metazoa; Chordata; Mammalia; Rodentia; Sciuridae. The record is from RNAcentral.